CGUAGGGUGCGAGCGUUGUCCGGAAUUACUGGGCGUAAAGAGCUCGUAGGUGGUUUGUCGCGUUGUUCGUGAAAACCGGGGGCUUAACCCUCGGCGUGCGGGCGAUACGGGCAGACUGGAGUACUGCAGGGGAGACUGGAAUUCCUGGUGUAGCGGUGGAAUGCGCAGAUAUCAGGAGGAACACCGGUGGCGAAGGCGGGUCUCUGGGCAGUAACUGACGCUGAGGAGCGAAAGCGUGGGGAGCGAACAGG
This 251-nucleotide ribosomal RNA is filed under the name uncultured Mycobacterium sp. RNAcentral's name for it is "partial 16S ribosomal RNA". It matches the Rfam family "Bacterial small subunit ribosomal RNA", at positions 526 to 776 of the family's 1533-position model. Lineage: Bacteria; Bacillati; Actinomycetota; Actinomycetes; Mycobacteriales; Mycobacteriaceae. The record is from RNAcentral.